GGAGGGGUGGGCGAGCGGCCAAAACCGCCGGUUUGGAGUACCGGUGAACCGAGAGGUUCCGUGGGUUCAAAUCCCACCCCCUCCGCCA
Molecule: transfer RNA, 88 nt
Filed under: Candidatus Acetothermia bacterium
Lineage: Bacteria; Candidatus Bipolaricaulota
Also listed under: 1 other name
Description: tRNA-Ser
Rfam family: tRNA
About the family: Transfer RNA (tRNA) molecules are approximately 80 nucleotides in length. Their secondary structure includes four short double-helical elements and three loops (D, anti-codon, and T loops).
Source: RNAcentral